AGUGAUUGUCUACGGUUAUGGAUAAGUCAAUGCAUCAAGCAGUGGUAUGGUCCAGACUGUAGCUGUUCACG
This 71-nucleotide small RNA is filed under the name Tetranychus urticae (two-spotted spider mite). RNAcentral's name for it is "sRNA tetur42g00239". The record is from RNAcentral. Lineage: Eukaryota; Metazoa; Arthropoda; Arachnida; Trombidiformes; Tetranychidae.